Molecule: ribosomal RNA, 1595 nt
Filed under: Chloroflexota bacterium
Lineage: Bacteria; Bacillati; Chloroflexota
Description: Chloroflexi bacterium (freshwater metagenome) partial 23S ribosomal RNA
Rfam family: Bacterial large subunit ribosomal RNA
Source: RNAcentral
GGUCGAAGAGAAAAGGGCACAGGGCGGAUGCCUUGGCGUUAGUAGCCGAAGACGGGCGUGGCAAGACUGCGAUAAGCCUCGGUGAGCUGUCUAGCAAGCCUAGCCGAGGAUACCCUAAUGGGAUAACCCGCCUGGGUAAAACCCAGGCUCUCGCCAAAAGCGAGAGGGUACCAGGAGAACUGAAACAUCUUAGUAACCUGAGGAAGAGAAAUCUAACGAGAUUCCCGGAGUAGUGGCGAACGAAAGGGGAAGAGCCUAAACUCUAGUGACUUAGUGGGCUUGGGCCCUAUGUCAUUAGAGUGUUGCAAGACGCAAGAUACAGAACUCAAGAACUGUGACAGAGUAAAAAAACUUCUGCCUAGUCAAAUGUCCCUGGAAAGGGCAACCAAAGAGGGUGAUAGUCCCGUAGACGAAAGGUUGAAGUCUCUGCUUGUGUUCUUAAGUACCACGGGACACGAGAAAUCCCGUGGGAAUCUGGGGUGACCACACUCCAAGGCUAAAUACUACUAACGACCGAUAGUGAACCAGUACCGUGAGGGAAAGGUGAAAAGAACCCCGAGAGGGGAGUGAAAUAGAACCUGAAACCUUGUGCCUACAAGCAGUCAGAGGCUUGGUUUUUACCAAGCUGAUGGCGUGCCUAUUGAAGAAUGAGCCGGCGAGUUAAUCUCUGUGGCAAGGUUAAGUAACUUAGUUACGGAGCCGUAGCGAAAGCGAGUCUGAAUAGGGCGAUCAGUCGCGGGGAUUAGACACGAAACCGAGUGAGCUACCCAUGGCCAGGAUGAAACCCAACUAACCUUGGGUGGAGGUCCGAACCCGUGUACGUGGCAAAGUGCUGGGAUGAGCUGUGGGUAGGGGUGAAAUGCCAAACGAACUCGGAGAUAGCUUGUACUCCCCGAAAUGCAUUUAGGUGCAGCCUCAGGUAAUAACUUAUGGAGGUAGAGCACUGGAUGAGCUCGGGGCCGUGAGGUUACCAAACUCAACCAAACUUCGAAUGCCAUAAGUCUAUAUCCUGGGAGUGAGACUGCGGGGGAUAAGCUUCGUAGUCGAGAGGGAAACAGCCCAGACCAUCAGCUAAGGUCCCGAAACGCGGACUAAGUGGGAAAGGAAGUGAUAUUGCUAAAACAGCCAGGAGGUUGGCUUAGAAGCAGCCACCCUUUAAAGAGUGCGUAACAGCUCACUGGUCGAGUGAUGUCGCACCGAUAAUUUAACGGGGCUAAAGUCCGCUACCGAAGCUAUGGUUCGCCUUUCGGCGAAGGUAGGGGAGCGUUGAUAUAGCUGAGAAGCCUUGGCGUAAGCCAAAGUGGAGCAAUAGCAAGUGAGAAUGCCGGCAUAAGUAGCGAUAAGGCAUGUGAAAACCAUGCCCACCGUAAAUCUAAGGUUUCCUACGCAAGGUCAAUCCGCGUAGGGUUAGUCGGGCCUAAGCCGAACCCCAAGGGGAUAGGCGAUGGACAAUGGGUCAACAUUCCCAUACCAUCUAAUCCUUGUUUUAAGGCAAAGGGGGAACACAGGAGGAUAGGCUGAGCGCACCUAAUGGACAUGGUGCGUCUCCAAUCCAAGGCGCGUUGAGGCAGGCAAAUCCACUUCAACAUCAAGCU